GCUGGGUGUGGUGGCACGUACCUGUAUCCCCAGCUACUAGGGAGGCUGAGGUUGGAGAAUCACUUGAACCCAGGAGUUUGUAGCUGGAGUGUGCUAUGCCAAUAGGGUUUUUACACUAAGUUCAGCAUCAGUAUGGGUGAGUGAGCUUCUGGAAGCAGGGAACCACCAUAUUGCCUAAGGGGGGGGUGAACUAGACCAGAUAGGAAUAAGAGCAGGUCAAAACUCCUGUGCUGAUCAGCAGUAGGAUCAUGCUUGUGAAUAGCUACUGCACUCCAUCCUGGGCAACAUAGCCAAAUCUCAUCUCU
This 305-nucleotide signal recognition particle RNA is filed under the name Carlito syrichta (Philippine tarsier). RNAcentral's name for it is "Metazoan signal recognition particle RNA (ENSTSYG00000028683.1)". It matches the Rfam family "Metazoan signal recognition particle RNA". From Rfam's summary of the family: The signal recognition particle (SRP) is a universally conserved ribonucleoprotein. It is involved in the co-translational targeting of proteins to membranes. Lineage: Eukaryota; Metazoa; Chordata; Mammalia; Primates; Tarsiidae. The record is from RNAcentral.